AACCCCAUGUGAACUCGUGUUUGUCUGUCUUUGGGGGAGAACGUUGUGGUUGCACUUGUUGCUCCAUUCUGUUGUCUCCCAAAUGAGUCUUUAUCGACUCAAUUGACUAAACUACUUUUUAAUAUUUUUUGGAAUUUAUUUAUUAUACUAAUAAAGGACAACUUUUAACGGUGGAUCUCUUGGCUCGUGGAUCGAUGAAGAACGCAGCAAACUGCGAUACGUAGUGUGAAUUGCAGAAUUCAGUGAAUCAUCGAAUCUUUGAACGCAAAUUGCGCUGUUGGGCAUUCCUGACAGCAUGCUUGGCUGAGUAUCAUCUGGAUAAAUCACAAAAGUUUUUCUUUUGUGGAAUUGAGGUGUCGUAUUGGCAACAAUGCGUCCCUUUAAAUGCAGCAAGGUGCAGAACUUUAGCGUUCUUGUACCACUAGUGUGUCAAUUGUCCUUUGGACAUCAUGCACUAUGUAGGUAUUUGGACAUUCAAGCUAAAUUUCUACAUCCUUUUCAAAACUCAUCUGAAACUUUGAUCUCAGCUCAAGCAAGACUACCCGCUGAAUUUAAGCAUAUCAAUAAG
This 568-nucleotide ribosomal RNA is filed under the name uncultured fungus. RNAcentral describes it as "eukaryotic LSU rRNA". The stretch from base 160 to 313 matches the Rfam family "5.8S ribosomal RNA". Lineage: Eukaryota; Fungi. The record is from RNAcentral.